Molecule: ribosomal RNA, 489 nt
Filed under: Escherichia coli
Lineage: Bacteria; Pseudomonadati; Pseudomonadota; Gammaproteobacteria; Enterobacterales; Enterobacteriaceae
Description: bacterial SSU rRNA
Rfam family: Bacterial small subunit ribosomal RNA
Source: RNAcentral
UGUCGUCAGCUCGUGUUGUGAAAUGUUGGGUUAAGUCCCGCAACGAGCGCAACCCUUAUCCUUUGUUGCCAGCGGUCCGGCCGGGAACUCAAAGGAGACUGCCAGUGAUAAACUGGAGGAAGGUGGGGAUGACGUCAAGUCAUCAUGGCCCUUACGACCAGGGCUACACACGUGCUACAAUGGCGCAUACAAAGAGAAGCGACCUCGCGAGAGCAAGCGGACCUCAUAAAGUGCGUCGUAGUCCGGAUUGGAGUCUGCAACUCGACUCCAUGAAGUCGGAAUCGCUAGUAAUCGUGGAUCAGAAUGCCACGGUGAAUACGUUCCCGGGCCUUGUACACACCGCCCGUCACACCAUGGGAGUGGGUUGCAAAAGAAGUAGGUAGCUUAACCUUCGGGAGGGCGCUUACCACUUUGUGAUUCAUGACUGGGGUGAAGUCGUAACAAGGUAACCGUAGGGGAACCUGCGGUUGGAUCACCUCCUUACCUUAA